UCGUACCCAUAUCCGCAGCAGGUCUCC
This 27-nucleotide small RNA is filed under the name Bombyx mori (domestic silkworm). RNAcentral describes it as "ovarian small RNA-29107". Lineage: Eukaryota; Metazoa; Arthropoda; Insecta; Lepidoptera; Bombycidae. The record is from RNAcentral.